GUGAUGACAGAAGAGAGAGAGCACAACCCAGCACCAGCGUGAAACACCGGCCGUCGGCCCGGUCGCUGAGGCAAGGGCCGUGUGCUCUCUGCUCUCUCUGUCAUGGCCA
Brachypodium distachyon (stiff brome) is the source of this 109-nucleotide non-coding RNA. The record is from RefSeq and is marked provisional. NCBI's taxonomy places the organism in Eukaryota, Viridiplantae, Streptophyta, Magnoliopsida, Poales, Poaceae.